UUACGGCCAUAUCACGUUGAAACACAGUUCCGUACGAUCACCUGAAGUUAAGCAACAUUGACCCUGGAAAGCAUCUAGAUGGGUGACCGCUUGGGAAUACCAGGUGCCGUAAG
This is a non-coding RNA of Acanthosepion pharaonis, 113 nucleotides long. NCBI's taxonomy places the organism in Eukaryota, Metazoa, Mollusca, Cephalopoda, Sepiida, Sepiidae. The record is from the annotation of a GenBank genome assembly.